GUCGUCAGCGCCACAGCCGAGGUUGACAGAUUGACUGUUAGAAUUUGUGGUUGGUCAAAUUAGCUUUAAAAGUAGAGAAUAUUGUCCACCUGCAAAAGAGAGUACAAAUCUACAUUGGUGAUUAAAAUAUAUCAGCUGCCAUUGGUGUUAUGUAUAUAUCUAAAAUUAGUGAACAGCUUAAGCGAAUCUGCAGCGCACGUGUGGGUGAGCUACAGAGAGAUGGUUGAUGUGCUGAGAACAGACAGGGAGUAUUAAGGAAAAAAAGGAUGCAGAUGUCUGUUGCCUCAUUGAGUAUCCUGGGGAAAAGAGGAGCUGUCAGGAGGAUGAACUUGAGGCCCUCACAAACCAAAUAAUGAAGGUGUUGGUGAUGCAUGAUCCCACAGCUGAGGACGACCCAGCCUCUCAUUUCUAGUGUUGCAACCAUUGUAGUCGCACAUUACAUCAAAUCACAGAUUCUUAUUGUUUGACAUGAUAAAAUGUGAGAAAGCAUUUUUUUAGUGCACAUUUUGCAGGAAGACAUUGGUUUAUUUUUAUUGGGAAGCAUUCAAGAGGUUUUAUUUAACACGAGUG
Long non-coding RNA from Cyprinus carpio carpio, 570 nucleotides. The record is from Ensembl. NCBI's taxonomy places the organism in Eukaryota, Metazoa, Chordata, Actinopteri, Cypriniformes, Cyprinidae.